ACACACAGAUACACACACACAUGCACACACCACACAACUCGCAAUCACUAAACUGGUCUGAGUCCACAGGUCACCAAAUAGGCUUCCAGGGAUCUAUCAGACCAAAAACCAUGACCCAGCCAGGGCCUUACACAGGCCCUGUCUGUGAUGACAUCACAAAGGCUUUUGAUGAGUUCAGAGCAAAACAGGCCUAGUCAUGGCUGGGGAUCAUUCACAGAUGUUUUCUCACUUUUAGUCCCCAAACCAUCUUCCUCUUUUAAAAAGAAGAGUGCUUUUGGCUUUUGUCUAGAUGGGUUAUAGAGAUUGAUAUUUAGUUUCCCAGCUAUUUAAACUGGUACAACACUUCAACAGCAUUUUCAUUUGUAGUUUCUUUUUCUGUAAUUUUUUUUAUUAUACUCUUAAGUUCUGGGGAACCUGUGUAGAUUGUGCAGGUUUGUUACAUAGGUUUACAUGUGCCUUGGUGGUUUUCAAUCAUUUGUAAUUUCAAAAUCUGAAACAGCUUUUGGAUUUUGAAGAUCUCCUAAGGUCUACAUGCAAAAUAUUCAAUUCCUUUUUUUUCCAUCUCUGAAUGGUAGGUCUCAACCAUUGAGAAGGGAGACAAUAUUUUCCUUUCCUUUAGGGAUUUUCCUUUGUCAUGUGGUUGAGAUUAUGUAAGGGACACAGAGGAAACAGACAUACCCUACCGUCCACGAGCCCAUAGCCUCAUCAGGAAGGCCCCCCCAGCCAUGAAGCUUCUUCAGCGUGAGGAGCACAGCCUCACUGCCACCAGCCUUCCCCACCUUCCUCCGAGAGGGAUUCAAGGAAAAGCCACCUCUGGCCUCCACCAUCACCUGCUGGCCCUGAGACCUUCAAGGAAAAGCCCUCCUCCUUGUCCACCAGGGCUCACCUGGGCAGCCUGUUCUCCCCACGGCCCUGCCUUACAGACCACCCUGAGUGCCCAGAAUGGGCAACCAGCUGUCUUCACUACCCCAGUCUAUACUCCUCUGGAGGGUAUCCUGAAUCACUGCAACUGUUUUGACGCUGAGACUCUGAAUGGGGGAAAAGAUGGCUUAUAGUCUUCUGCACAAAGGGUAAUCCAUACCUUUCCUGACAGUGUACGAUGGAUCCAGCCUCCUGUUUGCCACUUCGGGACAGGCUGCAAGGGGAAAUUCCAGGGAACUGAAGAAAUAAACCCCAGAGGCCCCUCCAGCAGGUGAGCCAGCUCCCUCCAGCUCUCAUCUGGGUCCACCCCAUCCUUUCUAUCCAUCUUCUCUCUCUUGCUUACCCCCUCCUAGAAAUCUUCACCCUAGAUUAUCCCAAGUCUCAAUCUUGCCCCUCAAAGUCAUGCCUGGUGAAUUUGGCCACAGUGAGGUCCAGGUCCCCUUCUCUCUACAGGACUUAAGGAAAAUUAAGAAAAUCUUGGCAACUUUUCAAAUGACCCUGACAUAUAUAGAGAGGCUUUCUAGUAUUUAACACAAAUAUUUGAACUGUCCUGGAAAGACAUUAUGUCACUUUUGAAUCAAAUCCUGACUAACACUGAAAAGCAGGUCACUCUGCAAGUGGCAGAGGGAUUUGGGGAUGAGCUUUGUAUCACAUAUAGUGUCAGGAAAGGGGUCAAACUUUAUCCAACUGGAAGAGAGAAAGUAUCAUUGCAUGACCUUAAAUGACAUCCCAAUGACAAGAUGGGAGAAUGGAAGAGGAGACAUUUUCAGGUGUGCAUAGUGGAGGCCUUAUGCAGAACUAGAACUAAGCCUCUCAAUUAUAUCAGUGUUUCUGUGAUAGACCAGGUAAUGGAUGAGAAUCCCACUGAUUUUCUGGAACGGCUAAGAGGGCCUUGGUAAAGCACAUCUCUUUAUCUCCUGAUUAUUUGAGGGGCAACUAAUCCUAAAGGAUAAAUUUAUUACUCAGGUAGCCCCUGGUGUCAGGAGGAAGCUGCAUAAGCAGGUCCUGGGACCUGAUAGUACUUUAGACAACCUUCUGAAAGUGGCCACGCCUGUCUUUUAUAAUAGAGAUAGGGAGGCCCAGGAGAGAGAGGAGACACAGGAAAAAGACAGAGGCUUUACGGCCCCCAUGCAAGCCCAAACACUCCAGAAUUCCUGAGGUGUGCCUGUUACUACUACAGAUGUGGCAAGCCAGGGUACUUUAAGAAGGAAUGCCCCCAAAUGGUUCCACAGCAGGACUGUUGGAUCAUAGGGUUUAUCUCCCUGGCUCUGGUAGUCCAGAUUACCAUUACAAUCCAGAAGCCCCAGGUAAUUCUGGAAAUCAAAGGGAGGAAAGUGAACCUCCUUCAGGGCACCAGGGCUGGUGUCUCAGUUUUCCUCUCCAGUCUGGGCCCCCUCUCAUCUCAGCACAACCAUGAGGGGAAAUCUCAGGAAGGCCUUCAACCUGAUAUUUUUUCAUAACCCUUUUAUUUGUAGUUGGGAGACCUCUUGUUCACCUAUGGCUUUCUAAUUACACCUGAAAGCCCAACUCCUCUGUUGGGCAGGGAUAUUCUGAGCCCACAUGGGGACCACCAAACUGAUGGCCUGAGGACGAACUCUUUGUCUCCCUCUAGUGGAAACCACUAUUAACUGAGAAGUUUGGGCAAUACAGGAGAAAAUUGGCCAAGCCACAACUGCCAUACUGGUCUGAUCUACCUUAAAGAUUCCAGCUCCUUUUCUAUCCAGAAACAAUGUCCCCUGAAACCAGAGGUUAGGAAAGGACUAGAAGCCAUCAUUGAUAACUUAAUGCUGUAUGGCCUCCUUAAACCCUGCAACAACCCUUGUAAUACCAUGAUAUUGGAGGCAAAAAAAAAAAAAAAACCCAACAGGAAAAGGAGACUAGUUCAGGACCUCUAACCCAUUAAUGAGGCUGUGGUUCCAAUUCACCCAUUGGUUUCCAAUCUGUAUACCCUGCUAGCUCAAAUACCUGAGGGAACUAAAUGGUUCAGAAUUCUGGACAUAAAGUAUGCCUCCUGUAUACUGUUACAUCCUUACUCCCAGUAAUUAUCUGCAUUUGAGGAUCCCUUUAACCAAACCACCCAGUUAACCUGGACACUGUUACCUCAGGGAUUCCAAGAUAGUCCCCACUUGUUUGGGCAAGCAUUAUCAAGAGACCUCUCCAAGUUCCUUUAUCCUCAGGAUAAAGUUUUACAAUACAUGGAUAACAUUCUUCUCUGUGCUCCAACUGAGGAAAUCUCUUAGGUGGGAAGUAAGGCUCUUCUUAAUUUUCUGGCCAACAGGAUAUGAGGCUUCAAAAUUUAAAGCUCAGCUCUGUCAGAUGUCAGUGAAGUAUGCAGACCUGUGCUUGUCAGAGGGGACCAGGGCAUUGGGUGAAGAAAGGAUUAGGCCCAUUUUCUCCUUUCCCCUUCCCCAAACCCUCAAGCAACUGAGGGAAUUCUUAGGCAUUAACAAGACUCUGCAGACUGUGGACACAUGAAUAUGGUGAAAUACCUUGUCCCUUAUAUCACCUAAUAAAGGAGACUCAGGCAGCUAAAACUCAGUGUCUAAGUUGGGAACCAGAGGUCAGAAAGGUCUUUGACCAACUGCAACAAGCCUUGCUUAAGGCACCAGCCCUUAGCCUUCCUAUAGGGAAGAUGUUUAAUCUUCAUUUGUCAGAAAGGAAGGAAAUGGCCUUGGGGGUUCUCUAACACAGGUCAAGCCCAGCAGCCUGAGGUCCAGCCCAGCAGCCUGAGGUCCAGCCCAGCAGCCUGUAGCCUACUUAAGUAAGGAGCUUGAUUUGGUAUCCAAAGGAUGGCUAGCCUGCCUCUGAGCAGUUGCAGCAAUAGCCUUGCUGGAACCAGAAGCUACUAAGUUAGCCAUAAGGAAGAGCAUAACCAUUUACACUUUGCAUAAUGUGGCAGGAGUGUUGUCAAUGGCAUCUCUGGAUAACAGACAAUUACUUCCUCAAGUACCAAGCUCUACUAUUAGAGUGAUCUGUAGUCCAAUUAAGAACGAGUACCUCUCUAAUUCCAGCCACUUUCCUCCCAGAGUCAGAUGGGGAGCUUGAACCUGUCUGUGAACACAUAGUAGUACAAACCUAUGCAGCCAAAGAGGACCUCAAAGAAAUCCCUUUGAGAACCGAGACCGGAUUCUCUUUAUGGAUGGAGGUUCUUUUAUAGAACAAGGGACUCAUAAAGCAGGGUAUUCAAUAGUUAACUCUUAAUGGUAUACCUCUUCCUCAGGUACAAGUUCUCAAUUAGAUGAACUAAUUGCCCUCACAAGGUCACUCAAAUUAAACAAAGAAAAAACAGGUAACAUUUAUGUUGAUUCUAAGUAUGCUUUACUAGUCCUGCAUGCUGAUCCCAUUAUCUGGAAAGAGAGGAACUUCCUUACAGCUAAUGGGUCUGCCAUUAAGCAUCAUCAGGAAAUUAAUAGACUGUUAUCCUCAGUUUGAAAUGGCAGUAAUACAUUGUAAAUGUCACCAAACAGGGAUAGAUGAAGUAACUGAGGGAAAUCUGUUGGCAGACCAAGCAACUAAAUCAGCAGUCAGAGGGCGCCAGAUUUUUGAUUCACUUGAAGGCCCACUGAUCUGGGAGAGCCCCAUCAGAGAAAUAAAACCUCAACACUCUCCCAUGGAAAUAGAAUGGGCCACCUCUUGGGCAUAUAUUUUUCAGUCCUCAGAUUGGCUACAAUCAAAGGAUGGCAAUCAUCUACCAGCUGCCAACCAAUGGAAAGUUCUUAAAAACCUUUGCCAGACCUUCCACCUAGGUAAGGAUAAAACCUACCAAUCAACCCAGAGAUUGUUCUCAGGUAAAAACUUGAUACAAAUGAUUAAACAGGUGGUUAAUUCUUGCAAGACAUGCCUAAAAAAUAAUCCCUUUAACGUAUAGCUUCUUCCCCCCAGGAACCUAAAGGAUAGUAGGCUAUCUGGGAAAAGACUGUCAAAUGGAUUUCAUCAGUAUGCCAAAGACCAGGGUCAUCCAGUAACUCCUACUAUGGAUAGACACUUCCACUAACUGGGUAGAAGCAUUUCCAUGUCAGACAGAGAAAGCCUCUGAGUUGAGAAAAGUACUAAUUAAUGAGACAAUUCCUCUCUUUGGACUCCCUAAGUACCUCCAGAAUCAUAAUGAUCCCUUGGCAGCUUCCCUUCAAGGCAGCUGUCACCCAGGGGUCUCAAAGUCACUAAGUAUACAGUACCAUCUUCAUUGUGCUUGGAGACCACAAUCCUUGGGAAAGGUAGAAAGGAUGAAUAAUGUUAUCAAACGGUACCUCAGGAGAUUUAUCUCCCCUGGGAACCCUCCCCUGCAUUGCCCUACGAUGUGUUAGAAACACCCCUUUAAAGCUAGGCUUGAGAUCGUUUGAAAUGAUGUAUGGAUAUGGAUAGCAUUUUCUCACCAAUGAUUUCUUGCUAGACCAGGAAACCUCUGAUUUGAUUAAACAUAUAACUUCUUUAGCCCAUUUCCAACAGAAACAGAUACAACUGUCAGAGGCCCUGUCCUGUGAACCAGCACCACCUCUGUUCAACCCAAAAGACCUGGUGCUGGUAAAGUUACUUCCUUCCCUCUCCCUCUCUAUAGGACCAGCUUGGAGGGGCCUUACCCUAUUCUGCUUUCUACUCCUAUGGCAGUGGAGGUCACUGCAAUAGACUCUUGAAUUCAUUACACCCAAGUGAAGGCCUGGAAAGCUGAUGGAGUCGCCUCUGUCAACCCAGAAGAGCACCCAAAGUACCAUGUAAAGAGAUCAGGGACUUCAAGCUAAAAAUUACAAAAGAUAUGUGUUAAUAGUUAACUUCCCAUGGAUAUCCCCUUUAUAGUCUUGCCUACGCUUGCUGUUCUUACCUUUGUUCAGUUCUAUACAAUGGGAUACAAUGUUGUUUUCAGAAUGAUUAUUUCUGUAACCCUUGGCAUUAGGUUUUCUCCUUUAUAACCACUUUUCGUAUAAUAUGCAUAUUUGAUCUAUGCAUACUGAAUCUUACAAAACUUGUUUCUUCUUGCCUAGAGACAAUGAAACUCCAACUGGUCAGGCACCAGAGACUUGGAUGAUGGCUCCCUUUUGCCAGGGACCCUUAGAUAGACCUCUGGAAGGAAUCCAAGUAUGAUUUCCCCAAAACCAAUGCCGCUGUCAGCAGGAAGUAACUAAGAAUGGUCAUUGUCCAUAUUCUAACAGUAGUUAGAUGUGCCUCUUGAGAGGAAAUGAUAGGGAAACGAGGCAGAGAAUUCCAGGUAGAAAGGAAAGGCUCAUCCCCUAAUUAUAGAUAAUGUCUAAUUAUAGAUAUUAUUUCUACCUAUAUAUACAUAUGUAUGUAACUAUCAGUAUAUCUGUGUAUAUUGUGUGUGUGUAUAUAUAUAUAUAUAUCUAGAGAUACUUUAUCUAUAAUCUGUCUAUGUUUCUAUCAAUCUAUCUAAUUUAUCUAUCCUAUUGAUUCUACUUCUCUGAAGAACCUAAUAUAAUAUAUUGAACUUCAAAAUUAUAUCCAGAAUGGUGACCAAAUCUCAUUACAGUUAUUGCAAGCAUUCUAGAGCAUGCUACCAUUGUUUCUCAUUUUCUAUUUGCCCUAAGAAUUACCUCUGUAGGAUUUAAUCAGAAGUAGAAUUAAAUGGUUGUUCUAAAAAUAAUUUUCCCCAGUUUCACAAGGGAGUAGGUUGACAGACUGCCUCAUACUGUCAGGCUGGAAGUUGAUUCCCUCUUCUCCCAUGUAAACUUUUAAAUGUGCUCUUUUUAUUUUUAAUUGCAAAAAUCUUUUUAAAUCACACAAUUUUCUUAUAAAGCUUCUCAACAAUGUAGACCUUUGUAAAAAUAAUAUAAUUAAACUCCUCCCACCCUCCAGCCAAUUUCACUUCAUAGGAUAAACCACUACUAAGUUAAGUAAAUAAAUAACUUUUAAAUGACAUAAUUUGAACUCUACAGUGACAGAUAUCUCUUGUAAACUGCACAUGACACAGUUAUUUCUAUCCUUCUCACAUCACUUCCACAGUUUUCAAGUAACGUAACUUAUAAGUCUAUGCAGAAAACUUAAUCUGUGUUGCCUGUUUCUAGCUCUGGCUUAUUUCUGUGAAAGGAAAAUAAAUUUGGGGGCCCUCAAGUCACUAAACUAAAGGGAAAAGUCAAGCUGGGAACUGCUUAGGGCAAACCUGCCUCUCUUCUACUCAAAGCCAUCCCUCUGCUUACCGAGAUAAAUGCAUAUCUGCUUGCCUCCUUUGGAAAGGCUAAUCAGAAACUCAAAAUAAUGCAACUGUUUGUCUCUCACCUAUCCGUGACCUGAAAGCCCCCUUCCUGCUUCAUGUUGUUCUGCCUCGGCUCUGAGUGGUCCCAACUGUCUGCACAGAAUCAGUGUACGUUUUACCUGUAUUGAUUGAUGUCUCAUCUCUCCCUAAAAUGUAUAAAACCAAACUGUUCCCCUACAGCUUUGGGCACAUGUCAUCAGGACCUCCUGAGGCUGUAUCACAGGCACACGUCCUCAACCUUGGCAAAAUAAACUUUCUAAAUUAACUGAGACCUGUCUCCGAUAUUCAGGGUUCACAUUUCCAUAAACUUUAAUUAAAUUCAGUGUUCAAUUCUCAGAACUCAUUGUAUCUGAAUCACUGCAGGCAUUUGACAGAGUUGAACACUCUCUUUCGUGAAACAACUUUCCACUUCCUUUCUGACUCCUAAAUCUCCUGCUUCUCCUUAUACUUCUAUGGCUCCUCUCUGUGUUGGGUUGCUACUCUUUUUUCUGACAUAAGAACUUUGCAGUCCUGAGUUAGAUCUCUUAAAUCUUAUUAUCAACCAGACUGAUACUUUAAAUAUUAUCUACAUCAGUGAUUCCCAAAUGUUUAACAACAGACCUCUCCUUAAACUCCAAACACAUGUAUCCAUGAUGUAUGCUCUUAGUUACUAAUGAGAGUCUCUAAAUUCACAAAAUCAAAGAUGAGAACCUGAUACUAUACUUCCCCCAAUAUAUAUAUAUUCUAUUGGUUCUAUUUCUCUGGAGAACCCUAAUACAAUACACUCAUCUUUAACAUUACAACCAGAAUGGUGACCAUGCCUCAUCACUGCUAUUGCCGGCAUUCUGGAGCAUACUGCCAUUGUUUCUCUUUUAUAUUACUGUAGUAGAAUUUUAAUUAAUGAGGCUCUCAAAAGUAAAUAACCUACUAACGUGUUAAUUAGAUAGUUUAUAUAUGAAGGCAUUUUAUAAAGGUAUGUUUAUUAGUCUAUUCUCAUGCUGCUAAUAUUGACAUACCCAAGACUAGGUAAUUUAUAAAGGGAAGAAGUUUAAUUGAUUCAUAGUUCAGCAUAACUGGGCAGGCCUCAGGAAAGUUACAAUCGUGGUAGAAGGCAAAGGAGAAGCAAGGCACCUUCUUCAUAAGGCAGCAGAAAGGAGAAGUGCCUAGGAAAGGGGGAAAAACCACUUAUAAAACCAUCAGAUCUUGUGAGAACUCACUAUCAUGAGAACAGCAUGGGAGUAACUGCCCCAUAAUUCAAUUACCUCCCACCAGGUCCUUCCCACAACAUUUGGGGAUUAUGGGAGCUACAAUUAAGGAUGAGAUUUGGGUGGGGACACAGCCAAACCUUUUCAGUAUGAGUAUAAAGAGACUGAAACUGGAAGUAGUGACAGCAACGCUAUUUUCAUUUCUGGGCCUGGGUACCUGUGAAUGUGACCUUAUUUGAAAGUAGGGUCUUUGAAGAUGACUAAGUUAAGAUUUCUUUUAUGGUGAGCUCUACUCUAUUAUGACUGGUGCCCUUGUGAAAAACAGAAAUUUGGACAGAUAGUUAUGCACAGAGGAAAGAAAAUUGAAUACACAAAGAACCAAGGAGUUGCAAGCCAAGAAACAGCUGAGGCUACAAGGAAUCUAGAGAAGCAUGGAAAAUUUUUCCUCCAGAGCCUUUAGAAGGAACUAUCCCUGUUGAUACCUUGAUUUCAGACUUCUGGUCUGUCUCACAAUCUGAAAUUGUGAGACAAUAAAUUUCUGUUAUUUAAGUCAUUCAGUUUGUGGUACUGUGUUAUGACAGCCACAGGAAAUUAAUUCCAAUGAGAAGAAUGUGACAAACCCAGGUUAGAUAGUUGAAUAAAUUUAGAAGAUUUGAAAGUGUCACUGAACUUAUAUUAAAUAGUAUAAUCUGCCGUAGGCAAACUCAUGGGGUAAAGUAAAGAAAAUAAACUCUGAUCUCACUCUGCUGCCUCCCUCUGAUCUCCUAGGUUCUCCUGAAAGCUGCUGAUGUAGUGCAUACAGGUUUGCUUCCUAGGGCAGAGAAAGGGUGAAAAGGGUGGAAGGUGCUUCUGGAAAUCUAAAAGGCAGUUUUCUGAGACACUUUCUAACUAGUUCCCUUCAUCUUCUCUUUCCUCCUAUUGCUUACUCUCAACACAGGUUGCAGAGUGAUGUGGCUGAAAGAUAAAAAAAUAAAAGACAAACAAAAGACAUAUCACUCCUCUGCUUAAAAUCCUCCCAACACAAAUCUUAUCCAAAAGUCCUCGAAGGACCUGUAUAGUCAUUCAUGUGUGGCUGGUCAUUGCCUCUUACCUUACCUCCUAGUAUCCUCUCCCUUGCUCACUCUGUUAAAGUUGACCUGGCCUCCUCACUUUACACCUGCUCUGUUUGAAAUGAUCCUUCAUCAGAUGUCUACAUGACUUCCAUUCUCCUUUUAUUCAGGUCUUUACUCAAUAAGGUGUCCUCAGACCACUCUAACAUAUUAACCUGUAUUUUCCAAACACAUGGCCUAUUUUCCUCCUUCUUAACAUUUAUCAUUAUCUAAAAAGCUGUAAACUGUGUAAAAGUGUAAACUGAAGGACUGCCAAUUUUGGUCUGGCAUAUAAAAAGUUUAGAGGUUGCCAUUCUAUCCUAACAAUAAAAUGCUGAACAACUUAAAAAAUCAACAACUCUUGUUAGGUCUGUAAGAGAAGUGAGGUUAUAGGACAAACAAAUAUCCCCAAAAUUAGACAGAAAAGCAAAUAUAGAGCAUCACAAUUUUUGUCAAUAUUGACAAACUAAUUAUAUAUUUCACAUGGAGAGGUUAAAAGAUCCAGAAGAUUGGCUGGGUGUGGUAGCUCAUGCCUGGAAUCCCAGAACUUUGGGAGUCCGAGGCAGGUGGAUCAUGAGGUCAUAAGAUCAAGCCCAUCCUGGCUAACUUGGUGAAACCCCAUCUCUAUUAAAUAUACAAAAAAAUAGCCAGGCAUGGUGGCAGGCACCUGUAGUCCCAGCUACUCAGGAGGCUGAGACAGGAGAAUUGCUUGAACCUGUAAGGCAGAGGUUGUAGUGAGCCGAGAUUGCACCACUGUACUCCAGCCUGGGUGACAGAGUGAGACUCUCUCUCAAAAAAAAAAAAAAAAAAAAAAAGAUGCAGGAGAUCUAGGACAACAGUGAAAAAGAACAAAGUUGGAAGACUGACACUAUACAACUUCAAGUCUUACUAUAAAGCUAGUAAUCAAGACAGUGUGGUAUUGGCAAAAGAAUAGACAAAUAAAUAAAUGGGAUGAAAUAGAGUCCAGAAAUAGACCCACAGAAAUAUAGUCAACAGACCUUUGACAAAGGAGCUCUAAAGUGACGUCUGUUUUUAAAAAACUAUAUAUUUUACUUAUUUAUCUUGUUUCUUAGCUCCCUCCUCCACAGUAAGCCCCUUCAAAAUAGGGGUAUUUGUCUAUUUUGUUUACUGUUGAGUUUCCAGUGCCUAGAAUAGUUCUGGUUUGUAGGCUGUAAUACACAUGUUGAAUGCAUGAAUAAAUGGCCUACCUUUCUGUUUUUCAAUCUUAUGAGCUUAACCUUUUUUAGUUACUGCAGUUGUUUUUAAGUCUAUUAUUGCUACCAUCACAUUUUCUGGUAUAAAGAGAUAGAAUGAGACAGAUGAUUUCAUUGUAGUUGAUAUUUAAUGGUUUGCUGUAAUGAAUGAUGAAUCCCUAAAACCCAAAGGCAUGCACAAAUCCUGUAUAUUCUAUCUUUCUGACAAGCCUGUAACAUUUCUUAAUAAAAAGCAAUGAAACUUCAAGGAAAUUUUGUGUAUACUUUUCAAUUGGAGAGCCAUUUUGUUUUCAGUUUCCCUUUCUUUUCCAAGCCACCCUAUUCAAGGUAAUAUAAUAUGUUCCUAAAUGUAAGCAAUGAUGGCAGACCACAUUUAUUCUUUUGUCUAGAAUUAUUUUGAAAUAUUUAGUGAGGGACACACAUGGCAUUUUAGCAAACAUUUCUUUUGGAAGAAAACUUAAACAGCAAGUACCACCAAAUUGCACUAUCAACUCUAUGUAUAACUAUGAGGAAAAAAUAAUGCUAUUUUUAUUACUAUUCUUUUUAUAGAUUUGAUAUGGCUCCUGGGUAAAUAUGUUCUUACUAAAAGCCUGCCAGAGUUGAAUGAAAUAUCCCUAUUCUCCAGGUUUUGGAUAUCAGUAUAGAUUAUUAUAUUGAUUUUUGUGGCCAGUAAUCCUUGCUCUAUUUUCCUUCUUCUCAGUGCUCUCAUUAACCUUUUGUAUUUCUUAUUCUAAUACAAAUCACUGCCAUGUUUUAGACUCAGUGUCUCUAAAAUGUAGAUCAUGGUGUGUCUGUCCAAACAUUCAGCGUUUUUAAAGGUGACAUUAUGUGUUCUUCAUAACAGCAAGAGAAUGCGAAUUAGAAAACACAAAGAAAACAGCUGUCAAGUAAAUUUUAUAACUUUCAAAUAAAUUUUUGAUGGCUUACAUUUUACAAGAUUUGAAAUCCUCAAUGAAAUCCAGAAAAUCUGAUAGUCAUACAGAAAAUAAAAAUUAGCUCUUCUUAUGGGACAAAAGUUGUUUAUUUUAGCAACAAAUUAAGGUUAGUAGGUCACGAAAUGUCCAUGUUCUUAUACUAAGCCAACUUGUUUUUGAUAACAUAACAGUAUUCCUAACAGUGUUUUAAACAAGACACUUUUUCUGAGGUUGAGAAAGAAGUUCUGAUUUUUCUUUUCUUAGCUUCUUUUCUUUCCCUGAUUCUAGCCUUCCACCAGUUUCCUUCAAUUCCAAGUUGUUUUUCUCUAUAAAAUCGUUUUUCUCUCUGUUAUUCUGAGUAAUAACCAUAAAUGGCAAGGAUGUGUGUCGCUUAUUCCUUCUUCCAUGCAUUGCUCGUGUGUGUGUGUGUGUGUGUGUGUAAAAUUUGAAAUAAAAUUUUCAGCAGUUCAUCUUUAAACUUAAAAGCAAUCUAUGUAAAAUUAAAAGACAGAUGCUUAUCUCUCAACAUCUUUGACUGGGUUUAUUUGGUUUAGGGAAGGUAGGGUGGGGUGCUCAGAAUGCUAUUUAAAUUGAAAUCUGAGAUAAGAUUCUUUUCUGUGGUCUCCAAGGCACAGAUGGAAGCACAAUCACAUAUUGAAAACUUUCUUAGGGCUAUGACCUUGAAUACCUCUUCAAAAGAUGAAACAACUAAUUUAAAAAUAAAAUGCAAAUAUUACAUGUUAAGUUUGUGCCAUCUAUUAAUGUACCUUUCUGAAAAAAUUGUCUUUUAACUGAACUCAAAUUUUUAUAAUAAAAAUUACUUAAACCAAUGUAAAUAUUGGCAUACUUUGGAAUACAUCAAGUUAGAUAUAUUUUAAAGUGAAUUUUUGCAGUGUGCAAGUCUUAAGAAUAAAAUAGGAAAAAAAAGAAGUCUUUACUUUUUAAAAUACAACAUUUUUAAAAAAUUAAUAAAAAACUAGACAGACGAGAAAGAGCUCUACUUAGCAAGCAAUAGAUACAACCAAACUAUUUUCAAGCAGUUUUCGGAGCAACGAUUAUGGAAGACAUUUAUUCCCCUAAGUGUUUGCCAAUUACACUUUAACUUCAGGGAUACUGGUUGCUGCUUCAGGAUGGCUCUGCUGAUGUUGUGGAUAGAGAAAUGGGCAUGAUUGCUCAUCGCAGGGCUAAGUGGCAGCUUAAGACUUAAAGGCACACAUUUAUAAAGUUCAGAGCUUUCUCAAGUGUCAGUUGGUAUGUACUUGAUGAAGUAGCUCAGAGGAAGCCAGCUGGCCUGCAGUCAUACUAACUGCAAGAUCAACGAUUAAUACCAAAGUGUUCACAUAUUCAAAAGAGAAGUAUAAUCCUGUGAAAUCCCUUACUGUGCUGCCCUCUAGUUUGAUUGGGGAUGACAGGUGCGGUAAGUGAGCCUCUUGACUAAGAACAAAGAAUUGUAACAAGAUAAUGAACAGAACAAGCUUGAAAAGAACAAGAGAAAUAAAGAAGGGUGGGUGGUGGCAGGGAGAAAUCCGAGGGGAAGUCUCUCUUGAAAAGUGAAAGUUUCAAGCUGUUCUCAAAAUAGAGAAAACGUAGAGAAUAUUUGUAUAUACACUUUAAAAAAUUUGCCAGAAAAUUAAAAGUGAGAUAACACAUUGAGUUUUGCAAUAGCUGUUUCUCAAUAUGGAUAUAUUAUGUCCUCCAUUUUGCAGCAGUACAAGAAAAAAGAGAAGUAAAAUAUGUGAUAGAUCUUCAUCACUAUAGCGAUCCCAUUUUUAAUCUUAUGUAAAACAGAGUUAACCAUACGCACUUUUAAGUUUACUGUUUUCUUUUAAAAUCAUAUCCAAAGUAUAUAGAAACCCAUACAGGAAUGUGGCAAAUUGUGUCCGUAUAUUUCUUUCCAUGAAGUAAUACACAUGCCACGUAAUAGUAAUUAAUGUAGCGUAGGGCUUAACAACAGCAAUGGCAAGGAAAACACUUAGCAAUUUAAUACGAAACCUCUUCAAGCCUCAGGGCUGUCAUCUAAAAUUUGAAAUAAUAAUUCAAGUUCUGAAAGAUCCUAUGAAGCUUAAAAGAGAUAACAGAUAUAAAGUAAAAUGUUUGGUGUAAUUUUUAGCACAUUCUAAAUGAUCAAUAAAUGAGAGACACUCUUAUAAUUUGAGGAAAUAGUAAAUUAAAAUUCCAACUUAGAUUUCAAUUAUAGUAGAGAGAGAGAGGUAGAUAGAAUAGAUAAAGAAUUACUAAAGAAAAGUAUGAAUGGUUUCAAAGUAUAUAAAAAAUACUCCUUGGGCAGCUCUAAUAUUCAAAGGAGACAAUAAAAGGGCUAAGGGAAGAGAAAUUUUAGAAGAGCUUUAUUGUGGUAUAGUUGCUGAAAUGAUUUGACUCUCACUAAUUCCCCUUUAAGGGACAUGCUGAAGUGUUCACUUCUAAGUUACUCACUUCAAGAAGACAAUUCUGAAGGUUUCACAGGUGCCCUUGGAAUUCCAGGAAAAAUGUUGGUAGGGUUAUCUGUACAUUAUGAAGUAGCUAAGGGAUAGAACAGUCCAAGGUCACAGUGUACAGGGAGCUACUGAUGCAUUAGGGAACAAGAGAUCACCUGGUAAUGGUGGAUAAAAGUACAAAACCUUCAGAGAUGAGCUGUGUAAACCCAGUGAGAAUGCAGGUAUUUAUUAUAUGGGAUCUUUCCAAAUGCCUUCUGCCAGAAUGUUGGGUGCCCAACAGGGAGUGUCUGUGUAGGUAGGCCCCAGAGGAAACAUGAAGCUGAUGUGGGUGCAGAACCAGCCAGCCACCCAAGGUAAAAGUGCUAGUGUAAGAGGAGUCCAUCAGGCUAUUUCUAAAGAAUCUCCUAAAAUGCCCCAAAGGAAAAAAUCAGAAUUAAACACUAGCCAUGCUCAGAGGCUGUACAAUUCUGUGAUUACAAUGGUCAGCUAAAGUUUACUACUUAUUUACCUCUUCCUUUUCUCUGUUUCAAUUCCAAGAAGCCAAAAGAAACAUGUAUUAGUUAGAUUAGGUGAGUUGCAAUAAAAAACAAAUCUUAAAUCUUCUUGGAUUAAAACAAAAAUUUUCAUUUUCAUGUAUGUCACAUGCCGUUUGCAAGUCACCAGGAAGUCUCUGCUUAUUACAGUACUCAGGAACACAGAUCGAUGAAGCUGUGCCUACAUGAACAUUUCAGAUUAAAUGCCAAUCCUUAGUCACUAACAGCCUGUACAGAGCCAGCCCCACGGUCCACCCAAUCACAGUAUUCCAGGUAGAGCAAUGCCGCUGUUUAUGUAGAAGAUUGUGAGUAAGAAACGAUUGAUAAACAUCAUGAACAACUGCCACAGUUUGCCCUUUUGCCAAAAUUAUAAAUUGAUACAGUCUCUCUUUCAGAGUCAAAAUACACUGCUUUCUUCCCAACAGAUACAACCUCAAAGUCUUAUCUAAUUCUAAAACUGGUGGGGGAAUGACUAAUAGUCUCAGUAUUCGUUCUGCUGUAUUUGCUCUUGACUUGGAGGCCAAUGAAAAAAAGACAAGUUCUCUGCUACCCACACAGCCAAAAUACAAUGAAACAGAAACAGAAUAAACACAGGAAACAAUCCUAUUUGUAAAAUAACUGGCCUAUAGCAGAUUUACAAAUAGGUGUUUUAAAGGUGCCCUUUCCUGAUGAUGGGGAAUAGUUUAGGCCCUAAUUUUGUUCCCUGACUCCCAGCUAAGAAACACUUCAUGUUCUCUGUAGUAGGCAGCUGUGUGGCAUCUUAUCUGUCUUUUUUUUUUUUUUAACAGUACUCUUUGAUAACAUCUGAAAUUGGCAUUGGCAAAUAUGUUCUUCUUGGGGUUAAGCAGAGUUUGCAGCAUGUAUCUUGCCAGUGUGUGGUGGGAGACCCAAAGGUCAUUUUCAGUCUUGAGCCCUCACAAUUUCUUUUAAACAAGGCUGAUGGUUAUUUUGUAGUAGUAAUUUCCAAAUGGCUCAGGAAAUUUCUGGUGAUGAGAAUGUAAUCAAUUUGGCAUCAGUCAUUUCCAUGUUGUAAUAGGCAUAUCCUCAGUUCUUUUCGAGAUAUGUCUCUAAGAUUUUUUGUAUUUCUAUGAUUUUCCUAUUCUUGAUUAUUUUUUCUCAAGAAUUAACUUUAGGCAUCAUGAGCUUUUCACACAAAGGGCACCUUUAAAACACAUAUAUGUGAUAGCAGCAGGAGGCAGACCAAUUUCCAGGCAGAUAGGGGUGGGUCUCCGGUGAAAUUCCACCUUCAAGCCCAAAAAGCCUAAAAACUGAAAGACUGGACUUCUGGUCCCAGAUGAAACCCGCUACCCAGAGUGAGAACUUCUGUUCCUGUUUGCCUGCCCUUCCCCUAUUGAUUCUUUCCGAAUAAGGCCUCUUAACCAAUCAAAUGUUGCCUUUUCCAAUGAAAGACUAUGGCCUGCCCCUCCCCUAGUCUGAGCCCAUAGGAGCCCGAGACUUGCCCAGGACUUAGACAAAUUGGGAGAACUUUCCUGUCUUUGGGUAGGGGGACCACCCCUGCAUCUCCCUCUCUAUAGAAAGCUGCUUCAUUACUCAGUAAAACUCCCUGCCUUGCUAACUCUUCAAUUGUCAGCGUAUCCUCAUUCUUGGAUGCUAGACUAGAGCUCGGGACCCACUGAGUGUGGGUACCUCAACGUGCUGUCACAUUGCCCUUGCCAGCAGAGGGCAGUUGCUCUAUGCAAUGGCGCCGGAGGCCAACUGAGCUGGGAACACACCGGUGUCCAGAGGGCAGUGUACAGCAGAAUUAAAAGAGCUAAUUAGCACACUAACACCCCCGGCCCCCGAGGCUUCAGGAUUAUGGGUAUCCUUGCCUGGGUGCUGCCACAUUCCCCGUGAGGUGAAAUGCCUGGUCUGGUCUGGCUGUGAGCUCUGCACGGAGCUUGCUCCUUUGUUGGUGCUUGGAGUGGCUGGCUGGAUCCUGCACUGACUCACUCAGGCACUCCGUCACUUAGGCGCUCCUUCCUGCAAGGGGCUGAGCAAGGCAGGCAGAGUAGAUGGGGCACUCCUGCUACACGUCCUGUAUAGAGGCCGGGAAAAAAUUCCUGUGUCUUUUGGGAAGGUCGCAUAUUGAUCUUAUAUCUCUCAGCCAUGUUGUCCAAUUCAAAGCAAUUGGGCACCACAUUUUCAACGGGGUCUUCGUCCUAAAUCUAGCUAAAUUUAUUUUAUGGUUUUCGCAAUGCACGUGAGGACUAUGCUGUUGAUUUGAUCCUUGCUACAAAAUUAAAUUUUAAUUGUCAUUGUUUCCUCAAAGCCUUUCUCAGUUUAAUUUUUUCUAGUAGGUGAUGAAAAGUGGUUGCAUUUUUCAGCCCUGGAAGUUCCCAAAUUUUAGGACUCUACUGAUUUCUUAUUCCUGUUCUAAAACCAGGAAAUUAUUUUCUGACAACACCUUCCCUGCAGUAACCUGCCAAACUCAGCCAACAGCAACCAAUACACACUGAUAAUAUUUUGUUUUUUCCCUUUUCCCUUCAAGCUACAAAUUGAUUAAGUAAAUGUCUUUUAAAUUGCUCAACUGACAUUUUCCAGGGUCUAAUAUUAAUUUAUCCAUUGCUUUCUACCUGGCCCCUAAAGUAGUGCCACAUGUUUCUAGUCAGGAGAGGUUACAUUGUCCUUGUGUAAUGUCAAAGUCCAAAAUAUCAGUAAUUUAGUUGAACAGUUUAUUUUUUGUUUCCAUUACAUUUCCCUUGUGGUUAGUGGAAUGGGAAGUGAGGAUAGGAAAGGAGUGCCUUCUCAGAAGACACCUAAGUGAAUAACUCUCUUGAAUGUAGCUGUUCACCCAGUUCAAAGGAGAGAUUUUGGAGGGUUCUGUAUCAACCACUAUGUAUUCUGUUCUGUAAGUGAUUUAUGCCACUUCCUACUGGCAGCUCAUUGGUUAGAAUUAUUAACACAGUUGCAUCCAGUCACAAAGGGGCCAAGAAAUGCAAUUCUCCCACGUGCAUUUAGGUGGAAAACAUCACAAACGGCUGAGGUAACAUGGUUGUUACCAAAAUUAGGAAGGAAAAAGAUCAUGAAACUAACCUCCCAAGCAACAGGUAGCCUGAUCAAUGUUGACCUCUGCCAGGGGAGGAAAUAACAUUUCAUUGUAAAUAAUGUUUAGAGUUUUGAUUACUGCACUAUGUUGAUCACCCUAAGUCAAUUGUGUUUUAUGACUCUAGGUGAUGUUGGACAACAAGAAGAAAAUUAUGGAUCUAUCCAAGUUUUCAUCCAUUGGCCCUACUGGAUAAAUUUUAAGGUGAAAAAUGUGAGACACAAAAGAAUUUUCCUUUUGACGACAAGAGUUAUACCUGUUUGACCAUUAAAUGACCAUUUAAAUCACAUUAAAUGAAGACCUCCAUCAUCAUCAUCAUCAGAUGCACUUCAAUUUAUGAAAGUCUCGGAUUGGUGAGCACAUCAGGUCCAACUCGCCUAGCUGUCAUCAGUUAAUAAUUCAUAAAGGAGAAGGAAAAAUUUCCUCCAGAAUCAAAACCCCUGCCUGGCUCUUUGAUUGAAAGUACCAUACGAUGAUUUAUUUUUUAGUUUUUUUUUAAGUCUCCAAAGCACUCUGUCUCAGGUUGCAAGUACUACCAGGUGACUUUGGCAAAAUCAAACUAAAAUGUAUUUAAUGGGUGGACAUGAUGUAGCUCACAGGGUUUAAAUGAAGGCUAGCGAGCUAAACUCAAAACAGAUACAAAAAGAAAGCUGUAGAGACUCAAUGGUCCUGAUUGUUAGGUUGUUUCUACAUUGUUAGGAUGGAUGAACAAAUUCUAAUUUUUCGCUUGUCUUAGUCACUCCCCUAAUGAUUCGGUUUCUGAGAGAGAUGGUUGAUUGGUUAAACUCAGUUUGAUUACUUGCCCACUCAUUCUCUGCUGUAUUUUUGCAGUGAGAAGAAUUACUAGUUUUGAUGGAAGAAACCUCCAGGGUUUCAAAUUUUCUUUUCUCUUGGUGGCAGAGCACAGCACCUUAUGUUCCCAUUCUUAGCAACAGUGAUAGUGGUUGUGUGGUAGCCAUAAAACAAAACAAAACAAAAAUGCCUGUAAUCAGUUUUUCUUGUUGUAUGAAUGUAAAAUGUUUGAAGAAUAUAACUUUAAUAAUUUUUUCCUUAAAGUAAAAAACAACAUUUUCAGAAAAAUAGUCCGCGAUGAAGUUUUGGGUCAAUAACAUGCUUGCUAGGUAAAUUAUCAACAAUAAGGUACAAAAAUACAUGCUUGAAAAAAAUGAUAAAGUCAGCUCAUUUAAGCCACUUGAUUCUUCAUCCCCUCUUUCCUGCUAUUGUACUCUACUUUGAAAACCAAGCCGAGGAGCAACUAAAAGUUUCAGGCUUUACAAUGACAUGUCUUUGGCAAAAUCUCCUGCUCCGUCCCCAGAUGUAGUCAUUCCCUAGAUGCUCGUAACCUAAUGUAAUUUCCUCAAUGCAAAUUAACUGAUUUAUUUGAGGCUUUCCCCGACACUGACUAUUAAUUCUUGGUGGAGGUGAAGCCCGAGGUUGGUAAUGUGAUGGUAGUGGAGAGAGUGAAUUAUGACGGUGCUGAUUUCUUGGAGCCUUCUAUAAAAUGUUGAAGGAUUAUUCAAGGCCUUGCCAUUACAAAUAAGCUAGUACAAAACAAAGAUGCAGUCUUCAUUCAAUAUAUAAUACAAGUAUUGAGCUAACACAGUAGAAUGGGAAAAGCUUUAGAAAGAAACGAAAACAGUUUUCUGCCUGCAUGAAAGACACAGGAAAAAGCCACUUCAACAUGGAUCGUGUGUGCACGUUUUCUAUGCAUUUCUCUGUCUAUACAUAAAAAACAAAACGUUUUGACUGGUAAGCAAUUGGCAAUGAUUCAUUUUUAUUCACUGCUGUCUAUAACUGGAUUAAACAAUUACAAUUUGUCUUACCAUCUGAGACUCUCCCUGGGGUUGGGUGCCUCUGCUCUGCUGCUCACUUUUGCUUAAGUUUGUACCUUCUCAUUAACUGAUUUGUCCUAAAAAUAACUUUGAAAGUCUCAGAUCCUGAGCUGUUAGCAGUUAGCCUGCAAAGCGAAGGUUACAAAAUCAGCAUCUGGCUAGAGCUCAAAAAGCUGACUCUGUUCUUAUUUUUAAGGCUAAGAUAAAGAAAUGUAUAUUUAAAUCUGCUUCUAAUUAGCUCUUAAACUGUAAAACACUGAAGGCUAUCAUGAAGGAAGUGUCUCAUUCUAGUGAAGAGCUUGUUGCUUCAUUCCUGGCUUCAGAAUUCCUUACAGCAUCUCUCCUAGACGUGAAACCUACCACCUCUUCUCUAUCCCAGAAAAUCUCCAGGGUAAAACAUGCAAUAAUGGUACUCUGUUUUGUGGUUAAAUAUUUUCAUGAGGAAGUUUUGCAUUUUUGAGAAACAAACUUAUCAACCUACCUUAAGUUGAUCUAAUUCUGGAUGUUUGAGAAUCACUGCAUUUGAGAGUGCCAGAAUUUAUUUGAUAAUAUUUGCAUUUCAUCCUUGAGAUAACUAUUUACAAGUUUGACUAAACCAAUUUUUAACUUUCAUAAUAAAAGACAGAGAAAAGAAACAUUUUCUUUUCGUACUAUGUUCACAUGGGGGCAUAAUGGGUAAUUUCGUUUCUGAAAAAGAAGCAAAAUAACUUUAUAUUUUAAUACUAAUUAAUUGACACUUAAUUUAAUUAAUAAAAUAAGCUGGUUAGCAAAAUCAAGCCUGUGGUGAAGAAUGCAGCACAAAGUUGAACAAUUUGAAGUAUUAGAGUUUAAAGUUAAAUUGUACAGUAUUUUGUGUAAGUCUUCGUCUACUGAUUCGUCACUUGUGCUUUGUACCACUGUUGGUCUGCAAAACAUUAUUUUGUAUUCUAAACUAUGUGAGGAUACACAUCUUGAAGUGCUUCUCUUUUUAUAUCUAGUGAAUAACUUAGCACAUACAAUGAACUAGAUAAAAAUGCUUAU
Long non-coding RNA from Callithrix jacchus (white-tufted-ear marmoset), 20386 nucleotides. RefSeq lists it as uncharacterized. Lineage: Eukaryota; Metazoa; Chordata; Mammalia; Primates; Cebidae. The record is from RefSeq and is a predicted model, not a curated record.